UACGUAGGGGGCAAGCGUUGUCCGGAUUUACUGGGUGUAAAGGGCGUGUAGGCGGGAAGAUAAGUCAGAUGUGAAAUGCUGGGGCUCAACCCCAGAACUGCAUUUGAAACUGUCUUUCUUGAGUGUGGGAGAGGGAAGCGGAAUUCCUAGUGUAGCGGUGAAAUGCGUAGAUAUUAGGAGGAACACCAGUGGCGAAGGCGGCUUUCUGGACCAUAACUGACGCUGAGGCGCGAAAGCGUGGGGAGCGAACAGG
RNAcentral lists this ribosomal RNA (253 nucleotides) under uncultured bacterium. RNAcentral's name for it is "partial 16S ribosomal RNA". It matches the Rfam family "Bacterial small subunit ribosomal RNA", at positions 524 to 776 of the family's 1533-position model. The record is from RNAcentral.